Molecule: long non-coding RNA, 2646 nt
Filed under: Brassica napus (rape)
Lineage: Eukaryota; Viridiplantae; Streptophyta; Magnoliopsida; Brassicales; Brassicaceae
Description: long non-coding RNA (BNAP_LNC003392)
Source: RNAcentral
GUCGCCUUGGAGUCUUUAAGAAUGGAAAGAGAUAUUAUGCUGCAAAUGAGGAAGUUGGGGGCUGCUGAGUUAUUCAACACCUGUCUAUCUAGGUCCCGAGCUUCGUCAACCGCUUCUUGCUUACCUGACACAGGAACACCUGAGUUGGUGGAUACUACAGAAGAACAGAAAACCUUUGUGCAUUCAACAAGGAAACUGAGAAAGAAAGCAAGACGGUCGAGUUUGAUGACUGGGAGUGAUGAUCUGGGUUCAAGAACCAUAUGGGAGGGUGUUGAUGUCCCUAGAGUGAGAAAACCAUCAAAAUAUAGAAAGAAAAGAGAGAGGAUAUCUAGAAACGAGGCUGAGAUGCCACAAGGAGUCAAGGUUCAGUGUGAAAUAUUCCUCUUAACUGUUUUUUUUUAUAAUCCUUUGUAGUUUAACAAGAAGUUCUUAUGACACUCUCAUGUGGCUAUUGAAGUUAGUGGCGGACAUGGAGAGGAUUAGAACGAAACUGGAAGAGGAAAGUGGUAAGGUAGCGAGUAUGAUUUGUUGGGCUGAAGCAGCAGGGAUGAACGAGAAACUUCUCAUGCGCAAUCUACAUUUCGGUUGGUACUGUCGAGAUGAACUGGUGAAAAGCACCCGGUCUUUGGUUCUUUUCCUCGCAAGAAACUAUCGUGGUCUCGGGAUCGCCCACGAAGAUUUGAUUCAGGUUCAUCUUCUCUCCUUUAGAACUGUAUGAGAGUCAAACCUUUGCACAUGAAACUUUGUGUUUACAGUUCCUUUGUUUCUAAUGUUCUUGAAUGUGGGUUUCAGGCAGGGUAUGUGGGAGUGUUGCAAGGAGCAGAGAGGUUUGAUCACACAAGGGGUUACAAGUUUUCGACGUAUGUGCAGUAUUGGAUAAGAAAAUCGAUGUCCACGAUGGUGUCACGGCAUGCAAGAGGCGUCCACAUUCCUGUUUGUGCAUUCUUGAUUAUUAAUUUUAUUUUUCAUUUCUAGAAAAGCCAAAGAACCUCACUUGUAUUCAUUCUGUGAUCGAUGUUGUUUAUUUUGGCAGGCGUCAAUAAUCCGAACAAUGAGUCAGAUACAAAAGGCUCGCAAGACCUUGAAAACGAGCCAGGGGAUAAAGUAUCCAGCUGAUGAGGAGAUUUCGAAACUAACAGGGUACUCGUUAAAGAAGAUUAGAGCAGCUAACCAAUGCCUGAAAGUGGUUGGUUCAAUCGACAAGAAAGUUGGGGAUUGCUUUACCACAAAGUUCCUGGUAUGUCCUUUUGAACCAACAUCCUCUCUCAUAAACUGUUAUAAAAAAUAUUUGGUUUUGUGUAGAUUUAAGCUAUUUUUGCAUGGUUUUGGUUUUGUGAGUCAAUGUUUGUUUGCUGUGUGUGUGUAUGCAGGAGUUUACACCAGACACGACGAUGGAGAGUCCAGAGGAGGCUGUGAUGAGGCAGAGCGCAAGGAGAGAGGUACAUAAUCUAAUAGAAGGGCUAGAGGCUAGAGAGAAGCAAGUGAUGGUUCUACGUUAUGGUCUUGAAGACUAUAGGCCCAAGUCCUUGGAAGAGAUUGGGAAGCUGCUUAGGGUUAGCAAAGAAGGGAUCCGGAAGAUAGAACGGAGAGCGAUGGCUAAAAUCAGAGACCAACCCAAAGCUGAUAACCUCAGAUAUUAUUUGAACCAGUGAGAAGGAUUAGAUUUUUGGAACCAAUGGCUUUGUGAUUUGUAAUAACAUUCUCAUCGAGUGUAAAGCUGUGUAUAUUUUAUAAUCAUAAAAGGUAGAGAUUUUACCCAAAGUGAAAAUAUAUCAAACAUUUACAAAUCUUGGAUUUUAUCCUGUAAAAGACAUUGAUUCCAAACUGAAUGUUACAUCUGAAUUGAAGGCAUAAAGCACUUGCACAAGCUUCAUGUCCUCCUCAUGGUCUAGAAAUGUGUAAAUGUGUAUAUCAGAAUACUAGUGAAACUAGGUUAAGAUCCGCGCCUUGCGCGGGAUAAACAUUAUAUAUAUAAAUUAUUUUAUAUAUUAUAUGUUUCUAACCUAUUAUGAAACAAUAAAUAUAUAUUGAAUAAUUAAAAAGUCAGUAACUAUUACCUAUAUAAUUAAGUUGGUGCGAACAUAUAAAUAAAUUUUAUUAAUCCCGUCUAUGUAGAGCUCAAAGAUCCAAAGGUCUGUUGUACUUCCCUGCAAAAACAUUUUUUUUUCCUUUCUUGUGAUUCUCAGUACUCGUUGCCAUGUCUUCAGGAAAAUAUUGGCGUGGGUUUAGUUGGAGAACGAAUGUCUUCUUCUUCUUCAGAGAAAGCCAAUUUAUCUCGUAGCAUGUUGCAGUACAAUCUACUAGGGAAGAACCUUUUAGCACUAGAGCAAACUUUUGUCGCCUUGGAGUCUUUAAGAAUGGAAAGAGAUAUUAUGCUGCAAAUGAGGAAGUUGGGGGCUGCUGAGUUAUUCAACACCUGUCUAUCUAGGUCCCGAGCUUCGUCAACCGCUUCUUGCUUACCUGACACAGGAACACCUGAGUUGGUGGAUACUACAGAAGAACAGAAAACCUUUGUGCAUUCAACAAGGAAACUGAGAAAGAAAGCAAGACGGUCGAGUUUGAUGACUGGGAGUGAUGAUCUGGGUUCAAGAACCAUAUGGGAGGGUGUUGAUGUCCCUAGAGUGAGAAAACCAUCAAAAUAUAGAA